GGUUAAGCGACUAAGCGUACACGGUGGAUGCCCUGGCAGUCAGAGGCGAUGAAGGGCGUGCUAAUCUGCGAUAAGCGCCGGUAAGGUGAUAUGAACCGUUAUAACCGGCGAUACCCGAAUGGGGAAACCCAGUGUGAUUCGUCACACUAUCAUUAACUGAAUCCAUAGGUUAAUGAGGCGAACCGGGGGAACUGAAACAUCUAAGUACCCCGAGGAAAAGAAAUCAACCGAGAUUCCCCCAGUAGCGGCGAGCGAACGGGGAGGAGCCCAGAGCCUGAAUCAGCAUGUGUGUUAGUGGAAGCGUCUGGAAAGGCGCGCGAUACAGGGUGACAGCCCCGUACACAAAAGCGCAUGUGCUGUGAGCUCGAUGAGUAGGGCGGGACACGUGGUAUCCUGUCUGAAUAUGGGGGGACCAUCCUCCAAGGCUAAAUACUCCUGACUGACCGAUAGUGAACCAGUACCGUGAGGGAAAGGCGAAAAGAACCCCGGCGAGGGGAGUGAAAAAGAACCUGAAACCGUGUACGUACAAGCAGUGGGAGCACAGGUUUACCUGUGUGACUGCGUACCUUUUGUAUAAUGGGUCAGCGACUUAUAUUCUGUAGCAAGGUUAACCGAAUAGGGGAGCCGUAGGGAAACCGAGUCUUAACCGGGCGUUAAGUUGCAGGGUAUAGACCCGAAACCCGGUGAUCUAGCCAUGGGCAGGUUGAAGGUUGGGUAACACUAACUGGAGGACCGAACCGACUAAUGUUGAAAAAUUAGCGGAUGACCUGUGGCUGGGGGUGAAAGGCCAAUCAAACCGGGAGAUAGCUGGUUCUCCCCGAAAGCUAUUUAGGUAGCGCCUCGUGAAUUCAUCUCCGGGGGUAGAGCACUGUUUCGGCUAGGGGGCCAUCCCGGCUUACCAACCCGAUGCAAACUGCGAAUACCGGAGAAUGUUAUCACGGGAGACACACGGCGGGUGCUAACGUCCGUCGUGAAGAGGGAAACAACCCAGACCGCCAGCUAAGGUCCCAAAGUCAUGGUUAAGUGGGAAACGAUGUGGGAAGGCCCAGACAGCCAGGAUGUUGGCUUAGAAGCAGCCAUCAUUUAAAGAAAGCGUAAUAGCUCACUGGUCGAGUCGGCCUGCGCGGAAGAUGUAACGGGGCUAAACCAUGCACCGAAGCUGCGGCAGCGACACUGUGUGUUGUUGGGUAGGGGAGCGUUCUGUAAGCCUGUGAAGGUGUGUCGUGAGGCAUGCUGGAGGUAUCAGAAGUGCGAAUGCUGACAUAAGUAACGAUAAAGCGGGUGAAAAGCCCGCUCGCCGGAAGACCAAGGGUUCCUGUCCAACGUUAAUCGGGGCAGGGUGAGUCGACCCCUAAGGCGAGGCCGAAAGGCGUAGUCGAUGGGAAACAGGUUAAUAUUCCUGUACUUGGUGUUACUGCGAAGGGGGGACGGAGAAGGCUAUGUUGGCCGGGCGACGGUUGUCCCGGUUUAAGCGUGUAGGUGUGUGUUCCAGGUAAAUCCGGUUCACUUUAACACUGAGGCGUGAUGACGAGGCACUACGGUGCUGAAGCAACAAAUGCCCUGCUUCCAGGAAAAGCCUCUAAGCAUCAGGUAACAUCAAAUCGUACCCCAAACCGACACAGGUGGUCAGGUAGAGAAUACCAAGGCGCUUGAGAGAACUCGGGUGAAGGAACUAGGCAAAAUGGUGCCGUAACUUCGGGAGAAGGCACGCUGACACGUAGGUGAAGUGAUUUACUCAUGGAGCUGAAGUCAGUCGAAGAUACCAGCUGGCUGCAACUGUUUAUUAAAAACACAGCACUGUGCAAACACGAAAGUGGACGUAUACGGUGUGACGCCUGCCCGGUGCCGGAAGGUUAAUUGAUGGGGUCAGCGCAAGCGAAGCUCCUGAUCGAAGCCCCGGUAAACGGCGGCCGUAACUAUAACGGUCCUAAGGUAGCGAAAUUCCUUGUCGGGUAAGUUCCGACCUGCACGAAUGGCGUAAUGAUGGCCAGGCUGUCUCCACCCGAGACUCAGUGAAAUUGAACUCGCUGUGAAGAUGCAGUGUACCCGCGGCAAGACGGAAAGACCCCGUGAACCUUUACUAUAGCUUGACACUGAACAUUGAGCCUUGAUGUGUAGGAUAGGUGGGAGGCUUUGAAGCGUGGACGCCAGUCUGCGUGGAGCCGACCUUGAAAUACCACCCUUUAAUGUUUGAUGUUCUAACGUGGACCCGUAAUCCGGGUUGCGGACAGUGUCUGGUGGGUAGUUUGACUGGGGCGGUCUCCUCCUAAAGAGUAACGGAGGAGCACGAAGGUUGGCUAAUCCUGGUCGGACAUCAGGAGGUUAGUGCAAUGGCAUAAGCCAGCUUGACUGCGAGCGUGACGGCGCGAGCAGGUGCGAAAGCAGGUCAUAGUGAUCCGGUGGUUCUGAAUGGAAGGGCCAUCGCUCAACGGAUAAAAGGUACUCCGGGGAUAACAGGCUGAUACCGCCCAAGAGUUCAUAUCGACGGCGGUGUUUGGCACCUCGAUGUCGGCUCAUCACAUCCUGGGGCUGAAGUAGGUCCCAAGGGUAUGGCUGUUCGCCAUUUAAAGUGGUACGCGAGCUGGGUUUAGAACGUCGUGAGACAGUUCGGUCCCUAUCUGCCGUGGGCGCUGGAGAACUGAGGGGGGCUGCUCCUAGUACGAGAGGACCGGAGUGGACGCAUCACUGGUGUUCGGGUUGUCAUGCCAAUGGCACUGCCCGGUAGCUAAAUGCGGAAGAGAUAAGUGCUGAAAGCAUCUAAGCACGAAACUUGCCCCGAGAUGAGUUCUCCCUGAGACUUAGAGUCUCCUGAAGGAACGUUGAAGACGACGACGUUGAUAGGCCGGGUGUGUAAGCGCAGCGAUGCGUUGAGCUAACCGGUACUAAUGAACCGUGAGGCUUAACCUU
Molecule: ribosomal RNA, 2907 nt
Filed under: Salmonella enterica subsp. enterica serovar Newport
Lineage: Bacteria; Pseudomonadati; Pseudomonadota; Gammaproteobacteria; Enterobacterales; Enterobacteriaceae
Also listed under: 1 other name
Description: 23S ribosomal RNA
Rfam family: Bacterial large subunit ribosomal RNA
Source: RNAcentral